Molecule: ribosomal RNA, 461 nt
Filed under: bacterium
Lineage: Bacteria
Description: bacterial SSU rRNA
Rfam family: Bacterial small subunit ribosomal RNA
Source: RNAcentral
AUAUUGCACAAUGGGCGAAAGCCUGAUGCAGCGACGCCGCGUGAGGGAUGACGGCCUUCGGGUUGUAAACCUCUUUCAGCAGGGACGAAGCGCAAGUGACGGUACCUGCAGAAGAAGCACCGGCUAACUACGUGCCAGCAGCCGCGGUAAUACGUAGGGUGCAAGCGUUGUCCGGAAUUACUGGGCGUAAAGAGUUCGUAGGCGGUUUGUCGCGUCGUUUGUGAAAACCAGCAGCUCAACUGCUGGCUUGCAGGCGAUACGGGCAGACUUGAGUACUGCAGGGGAGACUGGAAUUCCUGGUGUAGCGGUGAAAUGCGCAGAUAUCAGGAGGAACACCGGUGGCGAAGGCGGGUCUCUGGGCAGUAACUGACGCUGAGGAACGAAAGCGUGGGUAGCGAACAGGAUUAGAUACCCUGGUAGUCCACGCCGUAAACGGUGGGCGCUAGGUGUGGGUUCCUUCC